This 254-nucleotide ribosomal RNA is filed under the name uncultured bacterium. RNAcentral's name for it is "partial 16S ribosomal RNA". It matches the Rfam family "Bacterial small subunit ribosomal RNA", at positions 524 to 776 of the family's 1533-position model. The record is from RNAcentral.
UACGUAGGGGGCGAGCGUUGUCCGGAUUUAUUGGGCGUAAAACGCUUGUAGGUGGCUACGUCAAGUCGGACGUGAAAUCUCCCGGCUUAACUGGGAGGGGUCGCUCGAUACUGGCGAGCUCGAGGCAGGUAGGGGGAAGCGGAACUCCCGGUGUAGUGGUGGAAUGCGUAGAUAUCGGGAGGAACACCAGUGGCGAAGGCGGCUUCCUGGACCUGUUCUGACACUGAGGAGCGAAAGCGUGGGGAGCGAUCCGG